GGAGAUGACAUGUGCUGCCAGGAAUUAAAGAAGAAUUCCUAAAUGACAUUGCUGGAAAAGCAUCUGUGAUUCUUUUUACYUUCUUCCUUGUGAUUACCUCUAUUUAGGUAGACAAAGAGCAAGCUGAAAAAAMCACAGGGCUGAUCUGACUCCUCUGGCUUCAACACAGAAUUCCUUUAUUUAUUCUGUGUGCUUGAGACUGUCUAGRAAAUAGAUCCCGGGAGCUGCGCAGGAGGGAUCCCCCGGAGCAGUGGCAGCGUUUGCUGUGCCCCGCGCAGCCGUGCUGUUGGAAGCGGGCUGUCCUGCAAGCAUGCCGUGGGGGCUGCAGCAGCAUGCUGCAAGCUGAGCGAGCUGGCGGGAGCCACCAUGGCAGGGUCCUGCACUGAUGAGCUAUUGCCACCGCUGCCUGUGCCCUGAAAGAKCUGCUGAAACACUAGCGACAGCCACAGCUCUGUCUGCGGGCUGCAGACCUGAUUUUUCUCUCACCAUUGCAUGUCUGGAUCGACGUCACGGGAAUCGGUGCGUUCYGCUCUGUGAAGAGACUCUGCUGGGCUCGAGCAAGAGACGCAGCAGAAUCAGGCCUUACACUCCGAUUUCCUGUCCUUUUCCUAUACAAAGGAGCGAGGGAGGGAGAAUUCUCCACUGCAUAAUUUUGGGCCAGAAGGACGCCGGGUGUUGUCACCAGCUGAGGGACUGUGCAGGCACCACUGCCUCAGCACUCUGCAGAACCCAUGGGAAUAGAAAAUAGAGCAAGAAACAGAUGAAAAGAAGAGAAGGCAGUGUGAAAACAGGACAAGGCAGAUCCUGCACAAAAUGCGUGGGAGCCUACAGAGCUGACCCUGCUCAUGGAGGCUGCUGGUGGCAGUGCAAGGGGAAGGAGGCAGAGGUGUGACCUGCAAGGAGAGAAGACCUGGUACAGCGUGAGCAAUUUGAAAUGUUUCUGUUAUUUUCUUGUCUUCAGGAAAUUGGAGAGACUGAGAGAGAGGUGAAGAGUUAGUUGAAGCCCCAAGCAGCUUGUUGUGCUGGAGAGGGUGAAAGAGAGAGAAGACAGAGCUGAGCCUGGGCUGAGUAAUGACAAAUUACUUUUUUCUUUGUGACUUGAAAUUUAUCUYUGCUUCCGUGGUCAGUAGAGAGGCUAUCUUUUUUCUGUGCACAUGAAAAGGAAUCGRGACGAUAAUAUAUUCCAGAACAGUUUGCCUUUUUUUAAGAUUUAUUGUUAGCAAGAUGGAAUGUUGCUAAUUGGCAUUUGGCUAUGCAGCAUCAUGUGUGUUCAUGCUGAAGAGGGCUGGCGUCACCCCCUCUUCCCUAGGACUCUGCAGUAACGACCCAGCUGUAAUCAGACGUACUCAGUGCUAUUUCUGAAGAACUAUUGGAAACAUUGCCAAAGACAGAAAAAAGUAAUAGUAUAGUUAAAUAAAGCUGAAAUAAGUCAGAGAGCA
Molecule: long non-coding RNA, 1439 nt
Organism: Dromaius novaehollandiae (emu)
Lineage: Eukaryota; Metazoa; Chordata; Aves; Casuariiformes; Dromaiidae
Source: Ensembl